GACGAACGCUGGCGGCGUGCUUAACACAUGCAAGUCGAACGGAAAGGCCCUGCUUUUGUGGGGUGCUCGAGUGGCGAACGGGUGAGUAACACGUGAGUAACCUGCCCUUGACUUUGGGAUAACUUCAGGAAACUGGGGCUAAUACCGGAUAGGAGCUCCUGCUGCAUGGUGGGGGUUGGAAAGUUUCGGCGGUUGGGGAUGGACUCGCGGCUUAUCAGCUUGUUGGUGGGGUAGUGGCUUACCAAGGCUUUGACGGGUAGCCGGCCUGAGAGGGUGACCGGCCACAUUGGGACUGAGAUACGGCCCAGACUCCUACGGGAGGCAGCAGUGGGGAAUAUUGCACAAUGGGCGGAAGCCUGAUGCAGCAACGCCGCGUGCGGGAUGACGGCCUUCGGGUUGUAAACCGCUUUCGCCUGUGACGAAGCGUGAGUAACGGUAAUGGGUAAAGAAGCACCGGCUAACUGCGUG
Molecule: ribosomal RNA, 468 nt
Filed under: uncultured bacterium
Lineage: Bacteria
Description: partial 16S ribosomal RNA
Rfam family: Bacterial small subunit ribosomal RNA
Source: RNAcentral